AAAUUAAUCCUUCCAAAUUACUCUACAAUACUACAUUCUCAGUUCAACUACCAUACAUUGCCAGUCACUCCCUUUCAGUAAACAUUUUGCGGUAAUGGAUAGAAAUAAAUUUAAUUUAAUUAUUAUAUUAGUACAAUGUUUAAAGAAUAUUUAUUAAAUAUGGAAAAAAAAUUCAGAGAGAAAUGUUACUAAGAAUGGUUAGGGAACGCUGAAGAAUAAGGCGUGAGACAAGUAUUUACUUCAAUGGAGGCUUCACAGGGAGCUGACUCUGGUCUUGAAACUGAGCUUGAAAAUGAGUCUAAUGAGAGUAGUAA
Long non-coding RNA from Eurytemora carolleeae, 314 nucleotides. RefSeq lists it as uncharacterized. The transcript is spliced from 3 exons. Lineage: Eukaryota; Metazoa; Arthropoda; Copepoda; Calanoida; Temoridae. The record is from RefSeq and is a predicted model, not a curated record.